This 98-nucleotide ribosomal RNA is filed under the name uncultured bacterium. RNAcentral describes it as "partial 16S ribosomal RNA". The record is from RNAcentral.
CGGGUUGUAAGCACUUUUAGUUGGGGACGAAAAAGUACACGGCCUAAUACUCUGUGAUCUUGAUUUAACCUACAGAAAAGCACCGGCUAACUCUGUGC